Long non-coding RNA from Humulus lupulus (European hop), 2893 nucleotides. RefSeq lists it as uncharacterized. The record is from RefSeq and is a predicted model, not a curated record. The transcript has 2 exons. NCBI's taxonomy places the organism in Eukaryota, Viridiplantae, Streptophyta, Magnoliopsida, Rosales, Cannabaceae.
AAACAUUGGACCACUAUAUUGAUAAAAGAAUUGUAUUUGUUUUGGUGUUUGUAUUUUUCUUAAAUAUAUAUAUAUAUAUAAUUUUUGUUUUUUUUCCAAGCCCGAGUUAAAACACAGAAGUUGAUCAUUGAGUUGUCCAUUUAAAUCCACCAAAGGGUAAAUAUGCUUAUUCUGUUCCUUGGUUAAAGAAGAAGUACUAUCUAAAAUAAAAUGUUGAAGUUUGAGAGGACAAGGGAAAUUUCCUUUAGAUUUUUGGCAGAGAGUUAGCUACAAAUAAUAAUUGCAGUUUGUCCUAGCUAGACCUAACAGAACAGUUACUAAAGAAAGUCAAAAUCCUUUUAUCACAAAGUCAACUUUUUCUACUAGAUACUAGAUAGAUCUCCAAAGAUGAUGAAAUGAGAUGAGACUCCCUGCAAAAAAAUCACAAUUGAGCUGUAAAUACUAAAUAGUAACUUGAUGACAUAGCCCUAGCUACCCUCUUCUUAGGCAGUUUUUUUUUUAAAAACGACAUCACAUUUUUUGUUCUUCAUUCAAACGACAACACUUUGGCUAAAGCAAAACCCCUCAAUACUGGUAUAAAUAUAGGGUAAGACUUGAAUGCAAUCAAUUAUUUGUUAACACCAGUGUUGCCUAAUCCCAGCCAUACACGUGUAUUAUUUUGACCCUAAAUUAUGUUAUAACAAUCAUAUUAUAAUAUAACUCACAUAAUUUAUAAUUAUGUAUAUAUAACAUAAAAAUGUAAAUAAUAUGUGUUUAUGCUGUCCCAUAAUACUUAUCAAAGCACUAGGCCCUGAUUAGCAAAUUUGAGAUAUUAUAGUGAUAUUAACAAACACCCUUCCACACUACUUCAUUUUUUUUAUGAAUAUAAUUAUUAAACGAAAUUACUUUUUAUGUCUCUUUCACACGGUGGUCUACGAAUUGGUCUUAAACUACUUUUAGAAAUUAAAAAAAAUCUAUAAGCACUGCACUUGAGAUCAAUGCAAGAGGGAUGUUCUUGAGAAGCAACUGAGGUCAUUCGAGGUGAGCUCUUCUAGGUUUGUCUAGAGUUAAUACAGCAGCCAAGAUCCACCAAAAUUCACCCACCCACCUAAACAAUGAAAGCAUAUUUACGAAACUCAUCCAACUAAAGCGGCGACAAACAUUAAGAACAAAAGUCGUCUCUGGAUUUUCAGUGUACAUACAAUAAUUACAACAAAAGAAAAAUUACAAAUACAGAAACAAAAUCAAAUUUAAUAAAAAAGGAAGGAAUAAACUAACCAUAACCACAACAUUCAAAUUUGAUUAAUGUAUCGGGAGGGCAUAAACGCAUAUUAUAUUCAUUUUUAUGGUUAUAUGCAUGAUUAUAUGAAUUAUGUGAGUUAUAAUAUAAUAUGACUAUUGUAGUAUGUUUAUGUGUGUUAAGUAUGCAUGUGAGUCUGUUUCUUAUUAAAAUGGUAUUAUCAUAAAUUUGACUCGUUGAGAGUGUAUUUGUGAAUAUAUGUGUUUUAUGAUGUAGACCACAAUAUUAUGUGUAUAUAUUUGAGUUAUUCGGCACGAGACGACCCUAGUGAGAAAAUUAGCGGUUUAAUCACAAUGAUGGUUAAUACGUGACUCGGGGUGAGCUUAUGAGUAUUUUGGUCAUUUAGUACAUUACCAGGAUUUGUCAGGUAAUGAGAAGUUAUUUAGUGAUCUUUUGGGGCUAUUGGAAUUAAUUGGGGAAUGUAGUGUUAAUUGAGGAUUAAUGGGAAAUGGUGGCAAAAGAUCAUUUUGCCCUUGAGGGCAUUAAAGAGCUCCAGUUUGGGCAAGGGGCGUUUCAGUAAUUUCAUGCCCAUGGAAUUGACUUAGGCAAUUAGAAGCCUUCGAAAGAAAUCAGAUUACACUUCACUCCCUCUCCCUCUUCUCUCUCGUUACAUCUCUCUCUCUCUCUCUCUUAGUUUGGUUUGAGAUUCUUUGAUUUGGAGGAGAUUACUUGAAUUGGAGGCUUAGAGCUGGGAAUUGGAUUACGGUGCAGCUUGGGGUCGAAUUGCUCAGCUGAGGUAAUGAUUUAUACUCUGUUUAUGGUGAAUUUUUAGUUUGGUUUUAGUGUUCCUGAGUUUUAAACUCAAGGUUUGAAUUUUGAGUUUUGGUGAAGUUUUUAGCUUGGUUUUUAAAGUUUAUUUGUAGCUUAUGAUGUGUUGUUAUGAGUUUAAGACUCAAUUCUCGGCUUGGUUGAAGGUUGGAGACUGAUUUUAGGGGUUUUGGUUCAGAGAAAAUAGUUGGAAAUCUAGGUUCGUGGCGCGACCCUUAUGAACUUAGAGAACAGGGGAGGUGCCUCGAACCGCCUUGGCGCUAGGCGAGUUGCGCUGCGAUGCGUACCUUGUGGUUUUGGGCUCGAGGAUCUCUGACUUGUUGCGCGCGCGACCCUUAGUGGGGGGCGUCGCGACUCAAAUUGGAGAAAAUGUCAAAAUGAGGUUUUGAGUUGUGGGAACUCAAACCUAAGGGCUUGGGAAGGAAUCUACUACCCGGUUUAGUAGAAUUCGAGGUCUCGGAGGCUAGUAAUCGGUCCGGAAGCCUUUAUUCUCUUGUUAUUGAUGGUUAUGACUAGCGUUCACCGAUUGGCCCAGGAGGAAAGAUUCGUGCUCAGGGUCGUGAUACGUGUCUCGUGAAUGACCUAAGGUAAGAGAAAAUGGAAGUUGGACCAGCCAUGAGUUGGAGAGCUUCUAUGGCAGUGUGUACAUAUGCAGCCUGCUCGACCGCCACGACCGUGGAUUCAAGAAGGAACUAGGGUCAAACUCUAAUUUUGACGCUUAGGUCGGCGUGUUUUGUAUUCAUCUUUUGAGUUGUAAAUAACUUUUUAAAUGUGUAUUUUUGGGAUCCCAUGUACGAACUUAAACAUUUUAAUGAAAUUAAAUACUUCGUUGGCCAAUUUUUUUAA